UUGAUCCUGGCUCAGGAUGAACGCUGGCGGCGUGCCUUAAUACAUGCAAGGUCGAGCGGGAGAAUCAUCCUUCGGGAUGAGGAUCCAGCGGCGAACGGGUGAGUAACACGUGGGCAACCUGCCCGCAAGACCGGGAUAACUCCGGGAAACCGGGGCUAAUACCGGAUAGUCCUUUUCCCCGCAUGGGGAAAAGGGGAAAGGCGGCUUCGGCUGUCACUUGCGGAUGGGCCCGCGGCGCAUUAGCUGGUUGGUGAGGUAACGGCUCACCAAGGCGACGAUGCGUAGCCGACCUGAGAGGGUGAUCGGCCACACUGGGACUGAGACACGGCCCAGACUCCUACGGGAGGCAGCAGUAGGGAAUUUUCCGCAAUGGGCGAAAGCCUGACGGAGCAACGCCGCGUGAGUGAGGACGGCCUUCGGGUUGUAAAACUCUGUUCUUGAGGAAGAAUUCCUUCCAGGCGAACAGCCUGGAAGGUUGACGGUACUCAAGGAGAAAGCCCCGGCUAACUACGUGCCAGCAGCCGCGGUAAUACGUAGGGGGCGAGCGUUAUCCGGAAUUAUUGGGCGUAAAGCGCGCGCAGGCGGCUGAUUAAGUCAGGUGUGAAAGGCUGCGGCUCAACCGCAGAGCGGCACCUGAAACUGGUCAGCUUGAGUGCAGGAGAGGGGAGCGGAAUUCCCGGUGUAGCGGUGGAAUGCGUAGAGAUCGGGAGGAACACCAGUGGCGAAGGCGGCUCUCUGGCCUGUAACUGACGCUGAGGCGCGAAAGCGUGGGGAGCAAACAGGAUUAGAUACCCUGGUAGUCCACGCCGUAAACGAUGAGUGCUAGGUGUUGGGGGGGCUACGCCCCUCAGUGCCGAAGGUAACCCCAUUAAGCACUCCGCCUGGGGAGUACGGCCGCAAGGCUGAAACUCAAAGGAAUUGACGGGGGCCCGCACAAGCGUGUGGAGCCAUGUGGUUUAAUUCGAAGCAACGCGAAGAACCUUACCAGGGCUUGACAUCCCGCUGACCCCUCCGGAGAUGGAGGUUUCCCUCGGGACAGCGGUGACAGGUGGUGCAUG
This 1058-nucleotide ribosomal RNA is filed under the name Thermoactinomyces vulgaris. Its description in RNAcentral is "bacterial SSU rRNA". It matches the Rfam family "Bacterial small subunit ribosomal RNA", at positions 13 to 1047 of the family's 1533-position model. Lineage: Bacteria; Bacillati; Bacillota; Bacilli; Caryophanales; Thermoactinomycetaceae. The record is from RNAcentral.